Long non-coding RNA from Mytilus californianus (California mussel), 542 nucleotides. RefSeq lists it as uncharacterized. Lineage: Eukaryota; Metazoa; Mollusca; Bivalvia; Mytilida; Mytilidae. The transcript is spliced from 3 exons. The record is from RefSeq and is a predicted model, not a curated record.
AUGUCAGCAAAGAUAAGAAGUUGAAUGUAGGAGGCAUACAUAUUGGGAUAUGGAUUUCCAUUAUAAUUGCUGUGUUUUUCUCAACAGUCCUCAUUUCCCUAUUGUUUUUUAGAGGAAGAACAUGCAUCAGAAAAAAUCAUUUGAUAGGAACAAUCUAUUAUGCAGCACCUAGAAAUGAUAAUCAAGAAAAUGUGUACACCAUUGCCGAACCAAACUAUAUUGAAAUAUCUGAAAUUGAGAGCGCAAACCAAGACUAUAAUUUGAAUAGAUCUGAAUCCGUGGAAAAAGAAGAAGAGGACCAGGAAUAUGAAGAAAUACACGAAUACAUGGACAUGCAGUAAAAUUAUUCAAAUUUUAUCAAAAAAUCAUUCGGAAUUAAAUGUAUGUCUACUUUUCGAUAAAACGGUUGUACAAACAGUUCACUAAUGCAUUAUUUUGCAAAAAGUAUUCUUAUUUAAAAGGUAAUUAAGACAGGAAUAAUAUAAUAUAAGGAAUGUUCUACUAACUACAUUUUUUAUCGGCGUCUUUGUCAAUAAACUAUC